GUGCCAGCAGCCGCGGUAAUACGGAGGGUGCAAGCGUUAUCCGGAUUCACUGGGUUUAAAGGGUGCGUAGGCGGGCAUGUAAGUCAGUGGUGAAAUCUCAGAGCUUAACUCUGAAACUGCCAUUGAUACUAUGUGUCUUGAAUUUCCUGGAGGUUAGCGGAAUAUGUCAUGUAGCGGUGAAAUGCUUAGAUAUGACAUAGAACACCGAUUGCGAAGGCAGCUGACUACGGGUAGAUUGACGCUGAGGCACGAAAGCGUGGGGAUCAAACAGGAUUAGAUACCCUCGUAGUCC
RNAcentral lists this ribosomal RNA (292 nucleotides) under uncultured bacterium. RNAcentral's name for it is "partial 16S ribosomal RNA". It matches the Rfam family "Bacterial small subunit ribosomal RNA", at positions 505 to 796 of the family's 1533-position model. The record is from RNAcentral.